CGGGUAGUCCAGCUGUAACGAUGCAGACUCGGUGAUGCAUUGGCUUGUGGCCAAUGCAGUGCCGCAGGGAAGCCGUUAAGUCUGCCGCCUGGGAAGUACGUACGCAAGUAUGAAACUUAAAGGAAUUGGCGGGGGAGCACCACAAGGGGUGAAGCCUGCGGUUCAAUUGGAGU
RNAcentral lists this ribosomal RNA (173 nucleotides) under uncultured Nitrososphaerota archaeon. RNAcentral's name for it is "uncultured thaumarchaeote partial 16S ribosomal RNA". It matches the Rfam family "Archaeal small subunit ribosomal RNA", at positions 738 to 912 of the family's 1478-position model. The record is from RNAcentral. Lineage: Archaea; Thermoproteati; Nitrososphaerota.